UCAUCAAAAACAGGAAGUCUUUGUUUGAAGAUUUAGAAGCACAUUACUAAUACAAGUAAGAGGUGUUAAGAAGCUUCACAUCUCAGGCAUUGAAAACUUCCAGAAUGCACAGUAUUAGUUGUGUCACCUAUGAAGCCAGAUUCCUCUGCUUCAACAAUUCUGUAGACAUGAGGAAGGCGAAUAUGGAUUUUUUGCAUCCAUGUACUGCUAAUAGAGUAACUGAGCUUCCCGGGUUUAAAGAUGAAGUUCAUAUCAGUGUAUACCCAUCCUCUUCACUCCCUCAUGUUUAUCAGUGGCAUUCCGGAGCAGAUCGGUGAUAAGACUUGUGGAUAUUGGAUUAUGCAUUACAUGAGGGAUAUAGUAGAGGACAAAAACCAAGAGUGGAGUGCUAAGUGGGAAAGAAAAGCAAAUCACUAUUACACAAUGGAGAAUGUUGAUGUUGUCCGGGCAGAGUGGGCAAAGUAUGUUAUGAAGUUCAAAGAUAACUAGUGCAUGUGUAGGUUUAUUAACUAGUGCAUCAACUUUUGGACAUGGAUAGUUGAUAUAUAUAUAUAUAUAUAUAUAGGCCAGAUUUUGAUUGCAGUACUGCUAGCUAUUUUGCUAUGUUGUUUAGUUGGUUGCCCACAUUGUGUUGUGCUUCUGGCUUAUUAGCAAGCAGUACUGCAUGCAUAUAUUUUGGUGGCUGCCCAGUUUAGUAUAUAUGGGCCGUUUAGAACUGAUGUUGAUGAUUAGAACUGUGAUGUUGAUGAUUAGGUUCUGAUGUUGAUGAUUAGAACUAUGUACAUGAGACAAUGGUGGAUUAAUGGAAAUUGCAAUGAAUGAUUUUGGA
Rosa rugosa (rugosa rose) is the source of this 829-nucleotide long non-coding RNA. RefSeq lists it as uncharacterized. The transcript is spliced from 5 exons. NCBI's taxonomy places the organism in Eukaryota, Viridiplantae, Streptophyta, Magnoliopsida, Rosales, Rosaceae. The record is from RefSeq and is a predicted model, not a curated record.